RNAcentral lists this ribosomal RNA (699 nucleotides) under Streptomyces sp. Its description in RNAcentral is "bacterial SSU rRNA". It matches the Rfam family "Bacterial small subunit ribosomal RNA", at positions 62 to 779 of the family's 1533-position model. The record is from RNAcentral. Lineage: Bacteria; Bacillati; Actinomycetota; Actinomycetes; Kitasatosporales; Streptomycetaceae.
UCGAACGAUGAACACUUCGGUGGGGAUUAGUGGCGAACGGGUGAGUAACACGUGGGCAAUCUGCCCUUCACUCUGGGACAAGCCCUGGAAACGGGGUCUAAUACCGGAUACCACUCUCACAGGCAUCUGUGGGGGUUGAAAGCUCCGGCGGUGAAGGAUGAGCCCGCGGCCUAUCAGCUUGUUGGUGAGGUAACGGCUCACCAAGGCGACGACGGGUAGCCGGCCUGAGAGGGCGACCGGCCACACUGGGACUGAGACACGGCCCAGACUCCUACGGGAGGCAGCAGUGGGGAAUAUUGCACAAUGGGCGAAAGCCUGAUGCAGCGACGCCGCGUGAGGGAUGACGGCCUUCGGGUUGUAAACCUCUUUCAGCAGGGAAGAAGCGAAAGUGACGGUACCUGCAGAAGAAGCGCCGGCUAACUACGUGCCAGCAGCCGCGGUAAUACGUAGGGCGCAAGCGUUGUCCGGAAUUAUUGGGCGUAAAGAGCUCGUAGGCGGCUUGUCACGUCGGGUGUGAAAGCCCGGGGCUUAACCCCGGGUCUGCAUUCGAUACGGGCUAGCUAGAGUGUGGUAGGGGAGAUCGGAAUUCCUGGUGUAGCGGUGAAAUGCGCAGAUAUCAGGAGGAACACCGGUGGCGAAGGCGGAUCUCUGGGCCAUUACUGACGCUGAGGAGCGAAAGCGUGGGGAGCGAACAGGAUU